This 497-nucleotide ribosomal RNA is filed under the name uncultured bacterium. Its description in RNAcentral is "partial 16S ribosomal RNA". It matches the Rfam family "Bacterial small subunit ribosomal RNA", at positions 28 to 507 of the family's 1533-position model. The record is from RNAcentral.
GAUGAACGCUGGCGGCGUGCUUAACACAUGCAAGUCGAGCGAACGGACGAUAAGUUUGCUUCUCUGAUGUUAGCGGCGGACGGGUGAGCAACACGUGGAUUACCUCCUUAUAAGACUGGGAUAUACUCGGGAAUCCGGGUCAAAUAUCGGAUAAUAUUCUGCAUCGCAUGGUUCAAAAGCGAAAGUCGGUCUUGCUGUCACUUAUAGCUUGAUCUGCGCUGCAUUAGCUAGUUGGUAAGGUAACGGUUUACCAAGGCAACGAUGCAUAUCCGACCCGAGAGAGUGGUCGCCGACACGGGAAGUGAGACGGGGUCGCGGCUACUGCGGGAGGAAGCAGUAGGGAAUCUUCCGCAAUGGGGGAGAGCCUGACAGAGCAACGGCGCGUGAGUGGUGAAGGUCUUCGGAUCGGAAAACUCUGUUAUUAGGGGAGAACAUAUGUGUAAGUAGCUGUGCAGAUCGUGACGGUACCUGAUCAGGAAGCCACGGCUAACUACGUG